UCAGGAGUGUCAGCAAGAUUAGUCUACCUGGCUCUGACAAAGAGUUUUGCUUUAAGAGGAAAAGCAGAAAUGGGGUGGGGGGGGCGCCCAAAGGAGGUGUCUUGCUUUUUAAGGUAGGAGCGAAAACACCCUAAGUGUGGAGAGUUGGUUUAACGCGGUCUGGGACUUUGCCGAGAGAGCCCAGAAGGUGAGAGGGGGCAGGGGUGGGGGUGACAACAGCGUGGUCUUGAUAAAGGGCUGCUGCGUGCAAUGUGGGCACGUGGUCAGGGAUGCCGACAGGGUGGAUGGAGAGGCUGAGCGUCAAACAAAGAGGUGGGAGAAUCAACAGAGUCUAGGCCCUGGCGGGGGUGAGCAAUUACAGGAGAUGGCGUAAGAAAGAAUGAAAUUGGAAGGACAAGAAAAACGGGAAUUCAGAGCGGCGACAUUACCACUGAGGGCAAACAAGAGGGCUGCCGUCGGGGACACGGGGUUCAGGGCAUGGCCUUGGGCGCUGCGUGAGCGACUGCAACAGGCGAGCAGGGAGGUGUCACCGCGAGCCCGCGAUCUCCAAGCCCUCCGGUGGCGGAGAGCGGCCAGAUGUGACCCGGCCUUCCCGCGGCUUCGCUGCCGCCACGGUGGCCUCCGUGCGCCCGUGCCCGCCGCCCGGGUCUCCCGGCCCGGCUCACCCUCCCCCGCCCCACCGUCCCCGGCAGCUUCCGCUCUCGGCGCUGUCGUCUUCCAGGUCUAGGACGCGGGAGUGUCCUCGAGACGGACCUGCAGCUCCCCGUGAUCGAGGCUGGGACACGUGGGGGGACCGACAGAUAACGCCGGAGAGGAGGCGUGAGCACAGCCUCAGAGCAGGAGGACUCUCAGGGAGGUGAGGGGGAAAAGUCUGGAGUAGCUAUGAAGGAGGAGAAGGAGGAGGACAGCUUGCUUUCCGCUGGAGAGUUGGAUAAAAUAGGAAACUUAUUAAGGUUAUUGGGAGAUCUUACAUCCGGUGAGUCCUGGCUGCAUCUACUCACUUCCAGGUGCACAUACGCUGUUUGGUUUGUGGUUUUAGUUCAGUGGACCAUCCAGAAACUGGGACCUGUGGUGCCGACAUGACCGUCUAGCACCUCUGACGUCCCCAUGUGCGGAGCGGACUCGGGUACCGCCUGCCGCCCUGUGAGCUGUGUCCUCUACCAGGGCCCUGGUCGUCGACUCCAAGGCCACAGCAGCCGUUAGUCCGGGGGAAGGCGUCUGCCUGCUGUGUCAGGAGGCGAAAUACCACAGCAGGUGACGUCUAGGAGGAAACAGCCGAUGCUUAGAAUUAAUAUGUAAGAGAAAUAAAUGUCUUCCGUCUUCCUGAAUGGCCUCGAGUCCUUUUCUGUUGGCCUUCUGGGCGAGAAGAGGUCUCGUGAAGCCAUGAUCCGUGAUCUAUGGAUCUCCAAAAAGGGCUGGGAAGAAGACACUGUAUAAAAUAAUGGCCGGGGUUUUGAAAAGCCAUGUUCCCAUAAUACCAUUCACCUUUGCUAAGUAAUGUUUCAGUUCUGAAAUGGCACCAAGAGACAUUUCAAAUUAGUAGCUUGGUCACUUUUGAGCAAAGAGCAAUGAAUAAUAAAUAGUACAUUCUAAUACCAAAUAACAAAUAAGAAGAACACAAAAUGUUAAUCACAGGAAAAACCUUGUGCUCAUUUGAGGUGGCGGGAAGUGUGCCCACAACAUGUGGAAAUUCCCAGGCCAGGGAUCAAACCCGAACCACAGCAGGGACAACAUCAAGCUGCUGCAGUGACAAUGUCAGACCUUUAACCUGCCUGUGCCACAAGGGAACUCCACACUUUACUCAUUUUAAUCAUCUGUGUUUUAAUUUCUAAAAAAAAAAAUCAAAUACUUUCAUCCCUUAUUUCCAUGAAAUAUCGUGUCUAGUGACUGCAGUGAGUAGAAAGCACUGUUCUGCUACUCAUUUUUUUUUUUUUUGUCUUUUUAGGGCUGCACCCUCAGCAUAGGGAGGUUCCCAGACUAGCGGUCCAACUGGAGCUUUAGCCGCCAGCCUACGACACAGCCACAGCAACUCUGGAUCCAAGCCACAUCUGUGACCUACACCACAGCACACGACAAUGCUGGAUCCUUACUCCACUGAGCAAGGCCAGGGAUUGAACCUGGAACCUCAUGGAUCCUAGUUGGGUUUGGUAACUGCUGAGCCAUGACAGGAGUUCUGCUGUUCUAAAAGGACUGACUUAUAAGUUACAUGCCAAAAAAAGGGGAGACUUUAGGCAGCUAAAAAGAACAGUUUUUUGAAGCAGAAGUACCAUACCUUAUAACGUGAUUUCAUAAUGGUUUGGGGGAGUAACAUAUUGGGUCAACUUGCAUGAGCUGCUCCGUCAAUCAAAAAAAAGGGUUUCAGGGAGUUCCCACUGUGGCCCAGUUGGUUAAGAACCCAAAUAGUAUACACAAGGAUGCAGGUUCAGUCCUUGGCCCCGUUCAGGGGUUAAAGGAUCCAGUGUUGCUACAAGCCGUGGCACAGGCUGGCGACUUCAUCUCUGAUUCGACCCCUAGCCUGGGAACCUCCAUAUGCUGUGGNAAAAAAAAAAAAAAAAAAAAAAAAAAAAAAAAAAAAAAAA
This 2579-nucleotide long non-coding RNA is filed under the name Sus scrofa (pig). RNAcentral describes it as "lncRNA (ENSSSCG00015052874.1)". The record is from RNAcentral. Lineage: Eukaryota; Metazoa; Chordata; Mammalia; Artiodactyla; Suidae.